GUGGUAGGGGAGCGUUCUGUAAGCCGAUGAAGGUGUGUUGAGAAGCAUGCUGGAGGUAUCAGAAGUGCGAAUGCUGACGUGAGUAACGACAAAACGGGUGAAAAACCCGUUCGCCGAAAGACCAAGGGUUCCAGUCCAACGUUAAUCGGGGCUGGGUGAGUCGACCCCUAAGGCGAGGCCGAAAGGCGUAGUCGAUGGGAAAAUGGUUAAUAUUCCAUUACUUCUGUGUAAUGCGAUGAGAGGACGGAGAAGGCUAAAUCAGCCUGGCGUUGGUUGUCCAGGUGAAAGGAUGUAGGCAUGUAUCUUAGGCAAAUCCGGGGUACUCUAUGCUGAGAUCUGAUAGCAAGCUGUACUUGUACAGCGAAGUGGUUGAUGCCAUGCUUCCAGGAAAAGUCUCUAAGCUUCAGUUACACAGGAAUCGUACCCGAAACCGACACAGGUGGUCAGGUCGAGUAGACCAAGGCGCUUGAGAGAACUCUGCUGAAGGAACUAGGCAAAAUGGUACCGUAACUUCGGGAGAAGGUACGCUGUUGUUGGUGAUGGAACUCGCUUCCUGAGCUGACGACAGCCGCAGAAACCAGGCCGCUGCAACUGUUUAUUAAAAACAUAGCACUCUGCAAACACGAAAGUGGACGUAUAGGGUGUGAUGCCUGCCCGGUGCUGGAAGGUUAAUUGAUGGGGUUAGCGUAAGCGAAGCUCUUGAUCGAAGCCCCAGUAAACGGCGGCCGUAACUAUAACGGUCCUAAGGUAGCGAAAUUCCUUGUCGGGUAAGUUCCGACCUGCACGAAUGGCAUAAUGAUGGCGGCGCUGUCUCCAGCAGAGGCUCAGUGAAAUCGAAAUCGCUGUGAAGAUGCAGUGUACCCGCGGCUAGACGGAAAGACCCCGUGAACCUUUACUGCAGCUUGACACUGAACUUUGACCUUACUUGUGUAGGAUAGGUGGGAGGCUUUGAAGCUGGAACGCUAGUUCCAGUGGAGCCGUCCUUGAAAUACCACCCUGGUAAUGUUGAGGUUCUAACUCUGUCCCGUGAUCCGGGACGAGGACCGUGUCUGGUGGGUAGUUUGACUGGGGCGGUCUCCUCCUAAAGAGUAACGGAGGAGUACGAAGGUGCGCUCAGCGUGGUCGGAAAUCACGCGUAGAGUAUAAAGGCAAAAGCGCGCUUAACUGCGAGACCCACAAGUCGAGCAGGUACGAAAGUAGGUCUUAGUGAUCCGGUGGUUCUGUAUGGAAGGGCCAUCGCUCAACGGAUAAAAGGUACUCUGGGGAUAACAGGCUGAUACCGCCCAAGAGUUCAUAUCGACGGCGGUGUUUGGCACCUCGAUGUCGGCUCAUCUCAUCCUGGGGCUGAAGCAGGUCCCAAGGGUAUGGCUGUUCGCCAUUUAAAGAGGUACGCGAGCUGGGUUUAGAACGUCGUGAGACAGUUCGGUCCCUAUCUACCGUGGGCGCUGGAAAUUUGAGAGGAUCUGCUCCUAGUACGAGAGGACCAGAGUGGACGAACCUCUGGUGUACCGGUUGUGACGCCAGUCGCAUCGCCGGGUAGCUAUGUUCGGAAGGGAUAACCGCUGAAAGCAUCUAAGCGGGAAGCCUACCUCAAGAUAAGAUUUCCCUAGGACUUUAUGUCCUCUAAAGAGCCGUUCGAGACUAGGACGUUGAUAGGUUGGAUGUGGAAGCAUAGUGAUAUGUGAAGCUGACCAAUACUAAUUGCUCGUGAGGCUUGACUAU
RNAcentral lists this ribosomal RNA (1722 nucleotides) under Acinetobacter baumannii. RNAcentral describes it as "bacterial LSU rRNA". It matches the Rfam family "Bacterial large subunit ribosomal RNA", at positions 1225 to 2925 of the family's 2925-position model. Lineage: Bacteria; Pseudomonadati; Pseudomonadota; Gammaproteobacteria; Moraxellales; Moraxellaceae. The record is from RNAcentral.